This is a non-coding RNA of Tetranychus urticae (two-spotted spider mite), 1355 nucleotides long. The record is from RefSeq and is a predicted model, not a curated record. Lineage: Eukaryota; Metazoa; Arthropoda; Arachnida; Trombidiformes; Tetranychidae.
ACGACUUGAAAUCAGCUUGUAAGCCAGUUUUACUUUCAAAUGUUUCUCGCUUUUAUGCAACUUUAUGAUACAGAAAUUAAUAUUUAAUAUGAUAAAUUAAAGGCGUGAUCUAAAACAUAUUCACCUAUUUUUUAACAAAUAUCAUUCUAAUUUCCAUCUUUAUCAUGAUACUUAUCAACAUCAACAUCAUCAACCAUCGGACCAUUUCAAGUUGACCAUCUUAACAGGAAAAUUACUGGCAUUGUGUUUAGAGUAUUUCUGACUGACCAUGACAUUAUACAGCUUGUUGAUACUGUUGAAAUAUCCUUCAUCUAUUAGCAAAAAACAAUUUUAUUCAGAUACAAAAAUGGAAGUUUGGUCUAUUUUUCAAUGUACAAUUAAGAUCUCUCAACAAAUGAGUUCUAAUUUGGUGAAAGGAAAAGUAUUCAUUUAAAAUGCUCAAUACUGAAACUAUUACACAUACGAUUGAAUUAUUUGUCACAAUAGUAACAUCAUUGAUAAUUAUCCAUAAGUAUUGAUACAAUUUCCUGACACCUUUCCAUAGCUAACACAAAAACUUCCUGAAACAUGGUUGAGUUACCAACCCGAGCAUUGCUCCAUUAACAUUAUUCAACACAAAAUCCACUCAAAAUGAAGAGUAAAAAAAACAAUCCAACAUCAUUAAAUUGCUAGAGUGGAUUUGCGGCUAAUCUACAUUCAGAAUAAUUUACAUUUCAAACUGUAAUGAAAAAUUGACUACAGUUAGUCCCUAAAGAGUAAGGGAAGCUCAUUUCGCUAUUGCAAGAUGUUUCUGUUUUCUUGGUUGUCUUAUUUCAACUAUAACUGCGACAUGAAAUAAAAUAUGGAUUUGGUAAAAGGUGAGGAAGGCGAAACAUAAAUUAGAAUCAAUCAUCUUUGAAUUCGUAGGUGGAAGGACGAAAAAUAUUGACCCCACAUUCUAGAAGCAAAAUCUAAUUCCCAUCCAGAACUGACCCUCAUCCUUUGACCCUUCCCAGUUGAACCAUUGAAUUUAUUGAAUUAUUGUAUCUCUUUCAAAAGAUUCAAUUGUUGAUGAAAAGGUAAAACAAAAAAGGUUACUUGGAGUGAAAUAAUUUCCAGAUAAUAGAUUCCAUUCACCUUGUAUUUGACUCUACACAAAAGGCUAUUGUCCUAAAACAAAAUGGCAUUUAUGACCACUUUUCAGUCUUCAUGUCCAUUCACCAUUCAACUAGACAAACAAUAAGUCUCAACGGUUCCAUUGGCCAUGUUAACAUGAAAUGCUUCAUUUAGUAUUGUAAACCAAAGAAGCAAAAUUUCAUCAUUUAGUAAUAAAAAGAGUUCAUCUGAAGAGUGAAAUAAAAAUGUAAAACCUUUAA